RNAcentral lists this ribosomal RNA (467 nucleotides) under uncultured bacterium. RNAcentral describes it as "partial 16S ribosomal RNA". It matches the Rfam family "Bacterial small subunit ribosomal RNA", at positions 28 to 506 of the family's 1533-position model. The record is from RNAcentral.
GACGAACGCUGGCGGUGUGCUUAACACAUGCAAGUCGAACGGUAAGGCCCUUUCGGGGGUACACGAGUGGCGAACGGGUGAGUAACACGUGAGUAACCUGCCCUCAUCUCUGGGAUAACAGUCGGAAACGGUUGCUAAUACUGGAUAUGAGCUUGCAAGGCAUCUUGUGGGUUGGAAAGAUUUUUUUUGGUUGGGGAUGGACUCGCGGCCUAUCAGCUUGUUGGUGAGGUAGUGGCUCACCAAGGCUUCGACGGGUAGCCGGCCUGAGAGGGCGACCGGCCCAUUUGGGACUGAGAACCGGCCCAAACCCCUGCGGGGGGCAGCAGUGGGGAAUUUUGCACAAUGGACGGAAGUCUGAUGCAGCAACGCCGCGGGGGGGAUGACGGCCUUCGGGUUGUAAACCGCUUUCAAUUGUGACGAAGCUUUUUUGUGACGGUAGCAGUAGAAGAAGCACCGGCUAACUACGU